GCCUCGCUAUUUCAAUCGGCAGAAUUUGAGACUCUUAAAGACCUUCUACGGAUAGUGCUUCAGGAGAUUGAUCUCACGGUUGUGGGUUCGAGUCCCACGUGGGGCG
Tilletiaria anomala UBC 951 is the source of this 106-nucleotide non-coding RNA. NCBI's taxonomy places the organism in Eukaryota, Fungi, Basidiomycota, Exobasidiomycetes, Georgefischeriales, Tilletiariaceae. The record is from the annotation of a RefSeq genome assembly.